RNAcentral lists this ribosomal RNA (301 nucleotides) under uncultured bacterium. RNAcentral describes it as "partial 16S ribosomal RNA". It matches the Rfam family "Bacterial small subunit ribosomal RNA", at positions 509 to 807 of the family's 1533-position model. The record is from RNAcentral.
CAGUAGCCGCGGUAAUACGAAGGGGGCUAGCGUUGCUCGGAAUGACUGGGCGUAAAGGGCGCGUAGGCGGCGAUCAAAGUCAGGCGUGAAAUUCCUGGGCUCAACCUGGGGGCUGCGUUUGAUACGUGUAGGCUAGAGUGGGGAAGAGGGUUGUGGAAUUCCCAGUGUAGAGGUGAAAUUCGUAGAUAUUGGGAAGAACACCGGUGGCGAAGGCGGCAACCUGGUCCUUGACUGACGCUGAGGCGCGAAAGCGUGGGGAGCAAACAGGAUUAGAUACCCCCGUAGUCCCUGUCUCUUAUAC